Sapajus apella (tufted capuchin) is the source of this 115-nucleotide long non-coding RNA. RefSeq lists it as uncharacterized. The transcript is spliced from 2 exons. The record is from RefSeq and is a predicted model, not a curated record. Lineage: Eukaryota; Metazoa; Chordata; Mammalia; Primates; Cebidae.
AGUUACUCGGGAGGCUGAGGCAGGAGAAUUGCUAGAAGGUGGAGGUAUCAGUGAGCUGAGAUCGCUCCACUGCACUUCAGCCUGGGCGACAAAGCAAGACUCUUUCUAAAAAAAA